RNAcentral lists this non-coding RNA (65 nucleotides) under Candidatus Desulfovibrio gallistercoris. Lineage: Bacteria; Pseudomonadati; Thermodesulfobacteriota; Desulfovibrionia; Desulfovibrionales; Desulfovibrionaceae. The record is from RNAcentral.
AUGCGAAACGGCCCUUCGGGGCCGUCGCCGGAGCGUGGCGGCUCCGGCCUGACGAGCAGCCGAAA